CGGGGCGUGGCUCAGCUUGGUAGAGCGCUACCUUGGGGUGGUAGAGGUCGCACGUUCAAAUCGUGUCGCUCCGACCA
This 77-nucleotide transfer RNA is filed under the name Desulfitobacterium dehalogenans. Its description in RNAcentral is "tRNA-Pro". It matches the Rfam family "tRNA". From Rfam's summary of the family: Transfer RNA (tRNA) molecules are approximately 80 nucleotides in length. Their secondary structure includes four short double-helical elements and three loops (D, anti-codon, and T loops). Further hydrogen bonds mediate the characteristic L-shaped molecular structure. tRNAs have two regions of fundamental functional importance: the anti-codon, which is responsible for specific mRNA codon recognition, and the 3' end, to which the tRNAs corresponding amino acid is attached (by aminoacyl-tRNA synthetases). tRNAs cope with the degeneracy of the genetic code in two manners: having more than one tRNA (with a specific anti-codon) for a particular amino acid; and 'wobble' base-pairing, i.e. permitting non-standard base-pairing at the 3rd anti-codon position. Lineage: Bacteria; Bacillati; Bacillota; Clostridia; Eubacteriales; Desulfitobacteriaceae. RNAcentral also lists the same sequence under 24 other names. The record is from RNAcentral.